This 906-nucleotide small RNA is filed under the name Pongo abelii (Sumatran orangutan). Its description in RNAcentral is "retained intron". The record is from RNAcentral. Lineage: Eukaryota; Metazoa; Chordata; Mammalia; Primates; Hominidae.
CUCUCAGUGGGCCUGGCCCUCACCCCAAGCUGCAGAAGCACUUUCUGCGGGAGCUGGGGAGGGAGGGGCAGCCGGCUACACUGAGAGCCGGCAGUUGGGGGUAGGGCAGGGCCUGCGGUGGACUCUUCCAGGGAAGGGGGGCCUGCCUGCACCCCGUGGCUGGGGCCCCAUCUGACAGGGGUCAGGCCAUGACUAUUUGGCUGGAGGAGCAGAGAAAAGCAGGGGCCUCUGUCUCAGACCUCAGCCAGCUCAUGGGGUCAGGGCUGGACCCUUCAGCAUCCCUGCCUCCCCAGCCUGGAUCCCUGGGGCUGGGGGAGGUGGGGUGGGCAGGGACGCCCCUUUCCAGGCAGGGCAAAGGGAUGGGACAGGGAGGGGCCUGCUCAGAGGAGCCUAACUUGGGGAUUUGUUUUCUUCUAGAUAAACCUGGGACCCACUUUACUCCAGUGCCUCCGACGCCUCCUGAUGCGUGCCGGGGAAUGCUGUGCGGCUUCGGAGCCGUGUGCGAGCCCAACGCGGAGGGGCCGGGCCGGGCGUCCUGCGUCUGCAAGAAGAGCCCGUGCCCCAGCGUGGUGGCGCCGGUGUGUGGGUCGGACGCCUCCACCUACAGCAACGAAUGUGAGCUGCAGCGGGCGCAGUGCAGCCAGCAGCGCCGCAUCCGCCUGCUCAGCCGCGGGCCGUGCGGCUCGCGGGACCCCUGCUCCAACGUGAACUGCAGCUUCGGCAGCACUUGUGCGCGCUCGGCCGACGGGCUGACGGCCUCCUGCCUGUGCCCCGCGACCUGCCGUGGCGCCCCCGAGGGGACCGUCUGCGGCAGCGACGGCGCCGACUACGCCGGCGAGUGCCAGCUCCUGCGCCGCGCCUGCGCCCGCCAGGAGAAUGUCUUCAAGAAGUUCGACGGCCCUUGUG